This 66-nucleotide transfer RNA is filed under the name Embiratermes neotenicus. RNAcentral describes it as "tRNA-Thr". It matches the Rfam family "tRNA". Rfam says of the family: Transfer RNA (tRNA) molecules are approximately 80 nucleotides in length. Their secondary structure includes four short double-helical elements and three loops (D, anti-codon, and T loops). Further hydrogen bonds mediate the characteristic L-shaped molecular structure. tRNAs have two regions of fundamental functional importance: the anti-codon, which is responsible for specific mRNA codon recognition, and the 3' end, to which the tRNAs corresponding amino acid is attached (by aminoacyl-tRNA synthetases). tRNAs cope with the degeneracy of the genetic code in two manners: having more than one tRNA (with a specific anti-codon) for a particular amino acid; and 'wobble' base-pairing, i.e. permitting non-standard base-pairing at the 3rd anti-codon position. The record is from RNAcentral. Lineage: Eukaryota; Metazoa; Arthropoda; Insecta; Blattodea; Termitidae.
GUUUUAAUAAUUUAAUAAAAAUAUUGGUCUUGUAAAUCAAAAAUAAGGAAAUAACCUUUUAAAGCU